This 492-nucleotide ribosomal RNA is filed under the name uncultured bacterium. RNAcentral's name for it is "partial 16S ribosomal RNA". It matches the Rfam family "Bacterial small subunit ribosomal RNA", at positions 29 to 507 of the family's 1533-position model. The record is from RNAcentral.
AGUGAACGCUGGCGGUAGGCCUAAUACAUGCAAGUCGAGCGGCAGGACAGGAAGAGCUUGUCCCUACGGUUGGCGGCUGGCGGAUGGGUAAGGCGUACAUAGGAAUCUACUUAUUCUGGGGGGAUUACGUAGGGAAGCUGACGCUAAUAGCUCAUAUUACCUACGGGAGGAAGCAGAGGAGCUUGGGAGUUUGGGUGAUUGAUUGAGACGGAGUCGCAUUAGCUAGUUGGCGGGGUAACGGCACACCAAGGCGACGAUCCGUAGCUGAUCUGAGAGGAUGAUCAGCCACACUGGAACUGAGACACGGUCCAGACUCCUACGGGAGGCAGCAGUAGGGAAUAUUCGACAAUGGGCGCAAGCCUGAUCCAGCCAUACCGCGUGGGUGAAGAAGGCCUUCGGGUUGUAAAACUCUUUUGUUAGGAAAGAAAAGCUGCAUAUUAAUACCCCGCUGUUCUGACGGUACCUAAAGAAUAAGCCCCGGCUAACUUCGUG